This 274-nucleotide ribosomal RNA is filed under the name uncultured bacterium. RNAcentral's name for it is "partial 16S ribosomal RNA". It matches the Rfam family "Bacterial small subunit ribosomal RNA", at positions 523 to 796 of the family's 1533-position model. The record is from RNAcentral.
AUACGGAGGGUGCAAGCGUUGUCCGGAUUUAUUGGGUUUAAAGGGUGCGUAGGUGGUUUUUUAAGUCAGUGGUGAAAGCCUACAGCUUAACUGUAGAGGUGCCAUUGAAACUGGAAGACUUGAGUAGGGACGAGGUAGGCGGAAUUUGUGGUGUAGCGGUGAAAUGCAUAGAUACCACAAAGAACACCGAUAGCGAAGGCAGCUUACUAGGCCAUAACUGACACUGAGGCACGAAAGUGUGGGGAGCGAACAGGAUUAGAAACCCCAGUAGUCC